GGAGGGGGGGAGCAACACGAGUGAAGGGGGACUGCUGCUCUAUAGUUCUGGAUGCUGUCGAGAGGAGGGAAGGAAGUGAAGUGAAGGGAGGAGAGCAGCGAGACACAGCCACAUUUGUGGAGAGGUAGUCGCAACCUGUCACCCUUGCUGAGAAGACAAAGAAGGUGGCCGCGAAUGUCUACAGCCAGCAGGGCAGGGACUGCAAAAUUACGGAGCAUUUCUUCCUUCUAUUCUGUCUGCGUGUCUUCCCCAGUCUCGCCAGUAGCGGGCAACACAAGCCCACUUUGUGAGCAGGAAGAUCCUUCUACUUUUUUUUUUUUUUUUUUUUUGCAGCUUAACACAGAGGAGGGUGAUUGCAGCGGAGAAUUGUAAUCUUCUUACAGGAUCUCUGGUCAAUACCUUUAGCAUGGCCUCUGUACCACAUACACAACCGGAGUUUAGACUUGCAUCUUUAAAACUAAGAUUGCUGUAAUUUGGCCUAUAGGCUACAUUGAACAUAAAAUGUUAAUAACUUCAAAGAUUAAUUUUAGAAUGACUCAUCUAGUGUGUCCUUUUUGUUAAAAGGAAACAGACAAAAAAAAAGGCUUGUUAAUAUUAAAUACAAUGUUCAAUUGUAUGUAUUGAACAUGAACUUUUUUGUGACAAUCACAUCUAACAUUUUCUGGUUUGACUUUAGUAUUAGCCCUUUUACUAAACCAGUUCACACUGGAGCACAUCCUGAAAGAAUUCCCCGCACUUCACCUGUUACAUUCACAGUGAUUGUGAACCACUGAUUUAAAUGGACUUGGAAAGUCAAACACACGUCUAUAAAAGGUCCUGUAGUUAAUAGUACAAAAAAUAAAUAAAUAAAUUCUGCUGCUUUGAAGAUCUUAGUGAGCUCAGUGGCUUCUAUGAUUCAUAAAUCGAAUAAGUUUGGAAUCACCAGGACUCUACCUAGACCUGGCUGGGCGUCAAAACUGAGCGGGUGACCAAAACCAUGAUGGUCACUCCGUCAGAAAUCCAGUGUUCCUCUGAGAGAUGAGAAUCUUCCAAAAGGACAACAAUCCCUUCAGCAAACCACCAGUAAGGCCUGUAUGGUGUCCAGAUGAAAGCCUGGCAUGGCAGCCUCCUGGACGUUUGUCAAAAGGCACCUGGAGGACUCACAGACCACUGGAAGCAACAUUCUCCAGUCUGAUGACACAAAGAUUGAACUCUUUAGUAAAUGCCAGGUGUCAUGUUUGGAGGAAACCAGGCAUGGCUCAUCAACAGGCCAAUAUUAUCUCUAGAGUAAAGUGGAAUGGUGGUAGCACAGACACUACAAAACCUUACUUACAUUGGCUAAUAACAGGGCUGUAAAUACUCCUCUUGCCUUCUAAGAAAUAAAAUUCUUAGAAGGACUUAAUACAUUGUAUUAAAUCCCCCAUGCUAUCGCAAUUCUUUCAGAAAACCCAGACAAAUGUCUUUUUGUAAAUAUUGAUUUAAAUUCUACUCCAAAAAAUGCAACUUCUUACAAUAAUGGUUAAAUUCUAACAGCUUGUUUCAUUUGAAUAGAACCUGUUGUCUGAAGGCUUGUACAAAGAUUUGUUUGAUAGUUAGACAGAAACAGUCAACUCUACACUUUUCUACUAGAGUUUUCCUGUUAAAUGUAUUAAAUACUUCUGAAAUUAAUCUGCUGAGAUAUAAGGCAAGCGAGCAAAUAUCCCAUUUUGUAAUCCCUGCUGAGAUUUGUCACUUUACGCAUCAUGGUGGAUUAAAUGAUUGAGCUCUGGAGACAUUAUCAUGUGCAGGGUAUAUAGGACAUAAAUUAAUGUUCUCUGUGGUUGCAACCUUAAACACCAUUUCAUAGACCUCUGAGGGUCUAAUAUGUUUAAAAGGCUUUUCCUUAUAAUACACAGCUUCUACCCUUGACUUUUCAUAACUCAGAGAAUCUCACUAAGUACAUGCAAUGACCAACAUGACCCUCAAAUUAAAAUAAAACAAAUAUCAGUGAAUAAAUAGUAUGGGACCAUGAAUGAUUUGUAAAAGGAUUGAAAAAAAAUUUCAUUUUGGUUUAAGUGGAAUCAGCUCCUUUCCUACAAUAUGCUACUUCAGGAAAAAAUGUAUAGGCCUUAGUCAAUAAA
This is a long non-coding RNA of Xiphophorus hellerii (green swordtail), 2099 nucleotides long. RefSeq lists it as uncharacterized. The transcript has 2 exons. NCBI's taxonomy places the organism in Eukaryota, Metazoa, Chordata, Actinopteri, Cyprinodontiformes, Poeciliidae. The record is from RefSeq and is a predicted model, not a curated record.